Long non-coding RNA from Macaca mulatta (Rhesus monkey), 1627 nucleotides. NCBI's taxonomy places the organism in Eukaryota, Metazoa, Chordata, Mammalia, Primates, Cercopithecidae. The record is from Ensembl.
CAUGACUCUCCACUAAGAAAGAGGAAACAUCAAUUUCUAUUAAAUAGGUGUUUCUACCCGCCCCCCUCUCCAAAUUGCAAUAGAAUUAGACUACAAAUAUACACUGUCAGAAAGUAGCAUCAUUCUCAAUGACAGACUCCAAUCUCAAAAGACCUUUAUAUCUAAGAGUCUAAGUUAUGUUAAAUUAAUUUGAGAUAAGGAAAUACAUUAAAAUGUCUAUAGUACUUCAGCUUUCCCUAUUUCAGCAAAUCAGUAACUUUGAAAACAUGAAGAUGCCUGUAAUAAGAAAAAAGAAUUCAUUUAUACAAGAAAUGUGUAUUGAACACCAAUUAUGUCUUAAGAAUUAGAUGACCUGGGCUGAAGACAAUAAGAAAUAUAAAAUCCUAUCCAUGCUCUUGAAUUGCUCUUAGGAAAGUAGACAGAACUAUUUUUUGUGGGUUUCUUUUUUGAAGGUAGGGUGUGUGUUUCUUUGCCAUAUUUUCCCUGUAAAUUUGUGAAAGGUGAAUAUUUGACUUUCACACAUAUUUUUUGAGUCAAAUAUAUCCAAACAUGCUCUACAUAAACUUAAUCACUUAAAUCUGGGCACAAAUUCCAAAGCAAAUUUAUGAAUCCUGUACAAAUUUUAAAAACAGUAUACACUGUCCUCUGUAUCAGAGCCUUCAUUUAGUAUUAUUUGUUGUUGCUGCCUCUAAAUGUCAAGGGUGUCCUGGUUAAGCCAAAGCUAGAAAUGAGAUAUGGCUGGUGGGCUGAGUUAGCUGAACUGUACCCCUCUUGUCUGUAUACUUCCAUUAGCUGACUAACAUAAGAAAAUGGGGCAUUUACAUCAUGGCUUCCAGAACAGGUGACUCAGUGGAAUUCAAAUUGCCAGGAAAGUGUGGAUAUCCCAUCCAAAGCAAAGAUAAUUUGAAUAUGGUUUGCUUAUCUGAGACUGGACUCUGGAAGCUGGAGGGGAACAGAGAUUCUGAGAAUGUCCAGUAUACGGUGUACAACCAAUAAAUGAUUAAAGAAGAAAGGGAAGAAUAGAGAAGAGAAAGAAAGAAAAAGGAAGAAAAAGGAGUGAAAAGGGGGAGAAAGAAAAGGAAGAGAAAUGCAUGGAAAGUAGGGGAAGAGAAAGGAAAAGAUGAGAAAGGAAGAGAGGAAGGAGGAAAGAAGGGAGGGUAGGAAAAGGGAAGAAUGGCACCUGUGUUGUGAUUUGAAACAGAGAAGUCUCCCUUUUGCCUUUUAAGGUAGCAAUAAAUGAAAUGUAUACAGAUGCUAAAGAAAUAAAGAAUUCCUAGGAUGGCAUAUAUAUGGCUGUCUAAAUGUCAAUUCAAGAUAUUUAAUAUAAGAACAAAUUAAAGAAUCAGAGUUAUAGUCUCUUAUUUUUUCCUUGCCUGAUCGAAAACCAAAAAAGUUACUAUAAGACUGGUAAUAAGUCAUGACCCUUGGCAUAUAUAAUUUGAAAAAAGAAUCUAAGAAAGGCAAGUAAGGAUUUUCUUCUUGCCAUAUGGGGUAAUAAGUUUUAUAAUGAAAACAAUUGCAAGUUACAUAAACAAUUGUAUGCACAGCUAUUUUGAGGGAUGUCAAGUUGCAGGAUGUAGUCUUGCCUAUGAGGACCUCAAAUGGAAUAUAGAUGAAGGCUAUAUGU